Molecule: long non-coding RNA, 756 nt
Organism: Rattus norvegicus (Norway rat)
Lineage: Eukaryota; Metazoa; Chordata; Mammalia; Rodentia; Muridae
Source: Ensembl
AGACUUUUUUUUUUUUGCAUGAAAUCCAUCUCUAAGAAAAUACGCACUUGGAAGCUGUUGCCAACAAUAAGCUUGCCCAGUUGGAAGGAGCCCGUUGGCAGAGUUGGCACCGAUCGGCUUUAAUCCUUUCUCAGGCACUGAGGCAAUGCAUGCAAGAGUGUACCUGUCGGGAGUUGCCAGGGCCCUGACCACAACAUGCUGGCCAUCCUUGCCUCGGCUUCUUGUGCUGCUAAACCAAGGAACUCUUCUAGUGACUUAAACCAACCAUCACAGAUAUCAAUCUGCUUGGAAAUGAGAGAUGUCUGACAUCAGCUCUGUGGAAGUUGCACAGUGGGAAAGUCCUGGCCUUGGAGUCUCAUGGUUCCCCUAACCAUCAUUCGAAAACACAGGCCCGUUCCCUGUUCUUCUGGAAACUUGAGCUCCUUAGCUUCAAAGCAAUGACCUUGAGAGUGUCCUAGGGCAGAAAAAUAUAACAAGACCCAAAAUGCAUUUCUUUAGCCUAUGUAAGGAAGCUGUUUCCUAACAUUGGGGCACUAAAAAGCCCAAAUAAAGGUAUUAUUUACCUUCAUAAAUUUUACUUAAUUACGAUGAUGAUACUAGAGUAGGCUUUUAUUCUCUCUUGUUAGUGGAGAGGACGCCACUGUGUCUCCUUUGUACUUUGGUAAUGCUGAGGCUUCCAUGUUUGCUUUCCGUGUGCUUCUCAGAAUGUGUGCAUAAUCGAAUUGGAUAAGAAGGCAUGUCAUGUGGUUUUUACAA